This 85-nucleotide small RNA is filed under the name Salmonella enterica subsp. enterica serovar Typhi. RNAcentral describes it as "StyR-264". The record is from RNAcentral. Lineage: Bacteria; Pseudomonadati; Pseudomonadota; Gammaproteobacteria; Enterobacterales; Enterobacteriaceae.
CAAAAAAUCCGCGGUGCGCAGAGAGUGGCGAGGGAUGCGGAGCUUUCAGAAUAUGGUGGCGCUGUGGAUCAAUAAUCGCGCCUUU